GUAGUUAGCCGGGGCUUUCUUACAGGGUACCGUCACUUCUUCGUCCCCUGCGACAGAGGUUUACAAUCCGAAAACCUUCUUCCCUCACGCGGCGUUGCUGGGUCAGGCUUGCGCCCAUUGCCCAAUAUUCCCCACUGCUGCCUCCCGUAGGAGUCUGGACCGUGUCUCAGUUCCAGUGUGGCCGAUCAGCCUCUCAGCUCGGCUACCCAUCGUCGGCUUGGUGGGCUGUUAUCUCACCAACUACCUAAUGGGACGCGAACCCCUCUAAAAGCGAUAAAUCUUUGACCUCUUCCCGAUGCCGGGUUGUGGUCUUAUGCGGUAUUAGCAGUUGUUUCCACCUGUUAUUCCCCACUCUUAGGCAGGUUACUCACGCGUUACUCACCCGUCCGCCACUAACCUUUGAAAGCAAGCUUUCAAUCGGUCCGUUCGACUUGCAUGUGUUAGGCACGCCGCCAGCGUUCGUCCUGAGCCAGGAUCAAACUCUGA
This 486-nucleotide ribosomal RNA is filed under the name uncultured bacterium. RNAcentral describes it as "partial 16S ribosomal RNA". The record is from RNAcentral.